AUGGGGUGGGGGGGGCGGGAACCCAAACUCCUCAACCCCAAACUUCAAAUUUCAAGUCAGGGCAUGGAGGUGCUGUCAUGCAGCUGUGGCGGGAUCCUGAGGAGAACACGGAAUUUUCUUGGCUCUCUGCUGGCAGUGCCAGGGCGGUGUUUGGCACCUCUGCAGGGCUGGCGGUGCCCCUGUCCCUCACCCAGGCUGGCGGUGCCCCCGUCCCUCUCGGGGGAUCCCGGGCUGCAGCAGCUCCUCCCCAGGUGCAGGAGGGAGGGAAGGAAGGAUGUGUUUUAUCAAAGUCAGUCCCUGCUGUUUGAGUUCCUGCUCUGCCGCUCGAUAUCAUCUCAAAACCAACACGGGAGCUGUGGUGGGAUCCUCAGAAGAACAUGGAAUUUUCUUGGCUCCCUGCUGGCACUUCCAGGGAUCCAGGAGCAUCCACAGUUUCUCUGGGAAUCUCUUCCAAGGUCUCGCCACCCUCACUGGAGAGAAUUCAACCUAAAUCCAAUCUAAAUCCUUCUCCAGAGCCCCCCUGAGAUGAUGUUCCCUGGUCUCUCUUCAUUCUGAAAAAUCCUUCUCUCUUCAUUUUGAAAAAUGUCCAUUUUUUGCUCCCACCAAAGCCUUUCCUGCCGCCUCUCUCCCUUUCCAUGGAUUUCCUCCUCUGCUUCCUCCCCUCUCCUCUCCCACUUUCCCUUGCUUGAAAUCCAUGGAAAAAAAUGUGCAGCCUCCCCGAGAGAACCCCUUGGCAAAGUCAUAACUUGUUAAGCACCGUAAUUAAAAUAUUUCUCUCAUUAACUUGG
RNAcentral lists this long non-coding RNA (788 nucleotides) under Junco hyemalis (dark-eyed junco). RNAcentral's name for it is "lncRNA (ENSJHYG00000001387.1)". Lineage: Eukaryota; Metazoa; Chordata; Aves; Passeriformes; Passerellidae. The record is from RNAcentral.